AAUACUUCUCGGCCUUUUGGCUAAGAUCAAGUGUAGUAUCAUGGCAGUCUUUCAUACAUUUGAACUGGAUUUCAUAGUUUUCAACCCAUU
This 90-nucleotide small nuclear RNA is filed under the name Ophiophagus hannah (king cobra). RNAcentral's name for it is "U2 spliceosomal RNA". It matches the Rfam family "U2 spliceosomal RNA". Rfam says of the family: U2 is a small nuclear RNA (snRNA) component of the spliceosome (involved in pre-mRNA splicing). Complementary binding between U2 snRNA (in an area lying towards the 5' end but 3' to hairpin I) and the branchpoint sequence (BPS) of the intron results the bulging out of an unpaired adenosine, on the BPS, which initiates a nucleophilic attack at the intronic 5' splice site, thus starting the first of two transesterification reactions that mediate splicing. Lineage: Eukaryota; Metazoa; Chordata; Lepidosauria; Squamata; Elapidae. The record is from Rfam by way of RNAcentral.